Aegilops tauschii subsp. strangulata is the source of this 5223-nucleotide non-coding RNA. The record is from RefSeq and is a predicted model, not a curated record. NCBI's taxonomy places the organism in Eukaryota, Viridiplantae, Streptophyta, Magnoliopsida, Poales, Poaceae.
AAGAGAACCUUUGCCGGCUAGCAUUAUACCGGGGAAAGAAAAGCAUCUGCGUCGCCAUCCUCCCAAAACCCAAAUCGAACUCGCGGCGAUCUCUCGCCUUCCCAAACCAACAGACUCUGUACGGUCUUCUCGCUCUCGCGCCCCUCCCACAGUUUGUAGCGUGGCUAGCAGCAGCAGGGUGCCUCGCCGGCAGCUCUAAUCUUGGCACUGAGCUGUGCCUCCAACCUGUUUGAGUGAAUGCGCAGGUGGACGCGCUUGCUUUCUUCCACGCACUAGAUCUUGUGAAUUUUCCGUCUCCACCUGAUUUUGAGAUUCGCUGCUGACCAUGGCUGACGCCUCCGCCGGCGGCGGUUCCCUGGACGACUACCCAACCAUCGACCCAACCUCUUUCGACGUGGUCCUCUGCGGCACCGGCCUCCCGGAGUCCAUCCUCGCCGCUGCCUGCGCGGCCGCCGGGAAGACCGUCCUCCACGUCGACCCCGACGCCUUCUACGGCUCCUUCUACUCCUCCAUCCCGCUCCCUUCCGUCCCCUCCUUCCUCUCCGCCGACUCCUCCACCCCCUGCCCGUCCUCAACCACAGCGUCCUCCUCCGCCACCGCUGCAUACACCGCCGUCGAUCUCAAGCGCCGCAGUCUGUACUCGGAGGUUGAGACCUCGGGGACGGUUCCCGAACCGUCCAGGCGCUUCACGGUCGACCUGGUGGGUCCCAGGCUUCUGUACUGCGCCGACGAGGCCGUGGACCUUCUUCUGAGGUCAGGGGGAAGCCACCAUGUGGAGUUCAAGAGCGUGGAAGGGGGCAGCCUCAUCUACUGGGAUGGUGCGCUCUGCCCGGUGCCAGACUCUAGGCAGGCCAUCUUCAUGGACAGCACACAUCGGUCUAAGGAGAAGCUUAAUCUUAGGGAUAAUCUGAAGGAGAAGACCCUCUUGUUCAGAUUCUUCAAGCUUGUCCAGUCACACAUUGCCGCAUCGUCUCCUGGCGAUAAGGAUGGGGAGGGCGAAGCCUCUGGUAAGAUAUCCGAGGAGGACUUGGACCUCCCCUUCAUCGAAUUCCUCAAGAAACAGCAGCUUCAACCCAAGAUUAGAGCGGUUGUGCUAUAUGCAAUUGCCAUGGCAGAUUAUGAUCAAGAUGCUGCAGACUCAUGCGAGAAAUUGCUAACAACGAGAGAUGGAAUCAAGACGCUAGCUCUUUAUUCCUCGUCCAUUGGGAGGUUUGCUAAUGCCCAAGGUGCUUUCAUUUAUCCUAUGUAUGGGCAUGGCGAGCUACCGCAAGCUUUCUGUCGCUUUGCUGCUGUUAAGGGUGCCCUAUAUGUGUUGAGGAUGCCAGUCACAGCCCUUCUUGUGGACCAGGAAAAGAAGCGUUAUAUAGGCACCAGAUUGGCUUCUGGUCAGGAUAUUUUGUGCCAGCAGUUGAUACUAGGUCCCUCAUACAAAAUUCCUUCAUUGGACAUGCCAUCUGAUGCUUCAGACUCAAACUUGACGAGAAAAGUUGCCAGGGGAGUAUGCAUAAUCAGCAGCUCCAUAAAAGAGGCUUCAUCAAAUGUUCUGGUUGUUUUCCCCCCAAAAUCAUUACAAGAGCAGCAAGCUACAGCUGUUCGGGCGCUUCAGCUGAGCAGCAAUGUAGCAGUAUGCCCUCCUGGAAUGUUCAUGGUAUAUCUGUCUACUCCCUGUACCGAUGCCUUUACGGGAAAGCAGUACAUAAACAAGGCUAUGGAGGUUCUUUUCAGUACUCAGACUUCAGAUGAUUCAGAAGGCCAUUUGGAGACAACCAGCAAAAACAUCGAGGAUACAAAGCCAGUGCUAAUCUGGAGUUGUGUGUAUGUUCAAGAGAUCACACAGGGAACAUCUGGUACUGUAUUGUCAUGCCCCAUGCCUGAUGAAAACCUGGACUACAGAGAUAUACUGGAAUCAACAAAACAGUUAUUCACAGAUACUUAUCCUGAUGAAGAAUUCCUGCCUAGAAACGCAGCUCCUAAAUAUGCCGAUGAUGAAUCUGAUCUUGCAGAGUAGAAACAUGUUUGCAGAGGGUGCAUGCAUUAGCGAUGACAUGGACAGGGGCUUCACUGACAGGAAGAACUUGCUCAUGGACCGCAGGACCAUGGCUCCCAAGAUCGAUGACCUCAAGUCUCAGCCGUGCCUUUAGGGUUCCUCUCAAGAAUUACACACAAGAUUCUUACUCGAGGUACCGACCCUGAGGUCCUUCUUGGUGCCACAUGUGGUUGGUGGGCUGCAUUUUUUAAGUUGGUAUGAUGAACUGGACUUUGUAAAUGAGCACAUAUAUACACUGAAUCCUGGUAAAUGGCAGCUGAAUUUCAAGUACAGGGGACUCUUCUGCCCGAUCACAGUUUUCACACAUUAAUAACUGUAUGGCUCCAUCAGCGUGAAUUCAUUUUUCGGGGGGAAAUUUAAGUGCACAUAGCUGCAAAGAUGUGAAGAUCCAUAUCGGUCUUGUUUGAUAUUCUUUGAGUUGGUUUAGAUAGAGAGAAGUGACCUCUUUCAUGUCAAGUGCAUGUGCCAUUUACUACAGCCAAAGUGUAGACUGAUGUACGCUUAUAAUUUGUUCUUUUGCUUUUUCUUGGCUGCAUGCUUGCAUCCAAUUCAGAUUUUCCAUGUGCACUUCAGAACUAAUCAUGCCUGUACAGAUGAGAAAUUGAGCAAAUUUUUUAGUCUUUGAUAGAAACUGAACAAGUUUCUCAUGAGUUUUUUUAUAUACUUCAAGCCUACUGCUCAUCCAGCUCUAUGUGCAGUUUGGAGAUAUGCUUUAUUGAUCAUGCAACCUCCUUCUUUUCUCAUCCCUUUUAUAUUUUUAUUUCAAAUACUCUGUGUUAGCAAAAUCCUGUUGCAUGACUAGACCAACUAUCUGGUGAUUCAGGCACUACAUUAGUGAUUGGGGCAAUGGUCAGACCUGCUUGCAUGAAAAAAAGGGCAAUUUGGAUGUGCUUGCAGGAGCUCAGAACUCACCUAUUGAUGACUCACCUUGGAAACUGGUUUUUUAAAGGUCUUGGAGAUCACCUUUGGUAACAAACACUCAGGACUGCUCUAACUUAUUAUAUGAAAUAAUGUUCGGCCAUAGUAUAUUUUUUCUACACUUGAUGUUAGGCUGACAAGGCGACAGAUGCGGGGCCUUCUUCAAUUUCAAGUCACACAUGCCAUCGUCGUCCAGGUCAGUGGUGCCCCGUGCCCAUCGACGACAUCAUGCAGCUGUUCGCCAACGCCUGGAUGAAUCACUUCAAGACAUUAUUCCUUGACCAUAAUGUAGUGCCGCCCUGGACUAGCAGCUUGUCGCCUACACCUCAAUACAAUACCCAGAAGUGCAUCCGCGCCGGCAGCAAGCACAACGACCUCGACGCCAUGGGAAACAGUACUCCUUGAUGGGAACUAGACCUUCAGGUAUGAUGGGAGCUUCGAAGAGGAAGCCAGCGGAUAUUCAUGGGAGCUCCUCGUCAAAGUGAGGGAUUUAGUAUAGAAAGCUACUUUACAAGUAGUCUCAAGCUGGAGGAUAACAGAUUGGUCGCGACGUUAGGGAUCCCCAUCAAUGUUAUACUAUUUGUCUCCAGCAAUAUCAAGAUGAGGAUACAAGCAGAUCAAGUGUACAAGACGUGUAGUCUCCUCGUGAAGGUGGCUGAGCUAUGAAUUUGCUCUUGGUAUAUUUACCUAUGCUGGAUAUGGGGUCAGAUCUUUGGUAUGCAGGUGAAUGUAUAUGGAACAAUGAUUGCACAUAUUACAGUAAGCUAUAUUCUCUUCACAUUUAUGCAUAUUCUUGUUGGGACAAAAAAAGUGGUUAUAAUAAGCAGAUUCUUGUUGGGACCAAAAAAAGUGGUUAUAAUAAGCAGAUAUAUUUCUUCCCAUUUACGCAUAUUCUUACUGGGAGAGAAAAACAAAGCAGUGAUAAUAUGCAGUUUUACAUAAGCUUAUGUCUUGCAUAGAACCGAAAACUAAUGAUUAUUGCUUGUUUUCUGACUUCUGUUGCAGAAUGUGAAAGCUUAUUACCCACAUAAAACAAGUAGGUGUUACGAAGUCCUUGUAUGCCUAAUUAUUGUUGUUGUAGUUGUCAUACACGCGUAACAACCUGUGACAUACACACGCAUACCCGUGAUCUCUCUCCUACAAAUAUCCUUGACUAAUUCCUCAGAAGUAUAUGUAAAAACAGAAACAAAUGCUUCAUGCCCGCUCACUUGGAAACAAAUGCUUCGAUGGCCAAUGCGCAACUAAUUGCAUGCACACUUACAAAAUAUUUCUAACAACCAAUCAGGACAUUUCACUUACGAGGAUCAGUCAAAAAGUUAGCACGUACUAGAAAGAGACCCGACCGUGAUUUGUGUACUAUAAAGGAACGGAGGGAGGGAGUAAUGUCUUAUUUGGUAGUGAAAUAAAGCAAAUAAGUCAGGAAAAAAUAGGUGAUGUGAGAAAACUAGGUAGAGAAUAGAUUUGUGUGGAAAAUUAAUCUGCAACAAUUAUUAUGGUCAUCCCAAACAAAUUGAGGGAAGAUUUUUCCCUUUAAUAAUUAUUAUGCGACCACCUUCCUAACCAAGCUUCGAUUGUCCUGUUGGUACAUACAUGAAGAACAUUGUCUAUAGAGCGAUACUGACAUCAUAGGUGAGAAAUUUGGCACUUCGGUGAUGCGAAGACUUGAGGAAGAAGGUAAUGUUAUUGAGCUUACAAGUUACAUUUUUUUGUGUGUAACAUAGUUCUUUUAUAGUAAAAUUGGAUCUCUCUAUUGGGUAUGGCUUUCUACAUGGCAUUCAGUGUAACCUGCCAAAUCUCUCCCCUAUGAUUUUUUUAAAGUAUAGCACCCAAAUGAUUCACCCAUGACAUGUUCUUGAAAUUGAUUUGCACUGCUGAUUAUUCAAAACACGAGUGUUAGAUUUUGUAGUCUGAAAAUAUGAUAAUGAUGCCGAGAGAAGAGAGCAUGCGUACGAUCCAUGAACUUGAUGUGCGAGAUGGUAUGACUUCUUCAGAGAACCAUCUUGAUCCUUCCUUUUUCUUCAUAAUAUUGCCAACCAUUGAGAUUGUGGUGCGGGAGGUCGCGGGUGCUAAAGAUUGUGGCACAGUUUAGAGGGUUGGCCGGCGGCGGAGGCGGCGACUCAGGUUGGGGGCGACAAGCAAAAUAUUUCAAAAGCCCGUGGCAACGCACGGGCUUUCUACUAGUAUAUAUUGCAUUGCUAUGCGAAAGGUAGCAUUGAAGCAGGGACACAUUGUGUCGCUUGUUUUGAAGUUCAAAGAAA